AUGCAAAAGCAUUUCAGUUCAAUUCUCGUUUAUCAUGUAUGAUUGCUCUGUUUGCGCUAAGUGCUUAAUGACGAACUUGGUAAGUCUUGGCCUUAUGCCUCUAGGCAUCAACAAUCUGCAUAAGCUGAAUAAAACAACUAAAUGUACUCAUAUUGGCAAAUAUGUGAUAUACUUCCAAUAAGAACAAAGUGAACAAACUUGUUACUAUUUACACAAUAUGAAUAAAUCGUUAUGUAUGCUGCAUUAAUUUUUACUGAAAGCCACUGAAGGAACGAGACACAAUCAUGUUUUAAAUCAAUAAAUUGGACAAAUUUUCCAAUAGAAACUUUACAUUUGAGAUGAUCCAAUCAUAUCUGAACAUAUGUGUUUCUUUAUUCCUGUAUCUAUUAUUCCAGGCUCCUCCUUUGCAAGUGAAUGGCUCAGAUGAUGUGCCCUCAAAACUGUUUCUUCAAGUAGACUAAAUACUGAAUUUAUCAUAACACUAAGCAUAUUAGUAUUAAAGUUGCUGCCAUUCAAUCAAAUUAUCCUAUUCUAGACUUUUGCUUAAAAAUGAUUUUUGACUUUGCUUUUCACCAAGUGCAUUUUAAUGGCUUUUGGCAUUGUUUUUCAUGAAUAACUAACUCAUAAACUUCUAUAAAAUAGAAAACAUGGAAUAUAUUGACUAAAAUCUUAAGCCAUCUUUGGAAGACUAGAUGGCAUAUGAAGUACACCCUAAGUCCAUAACUCCGACAGAUAAGAACCUAAACUCAGGGAACCAUGUAAAAUUUCCUGAAUCUUAUGCAAAAUUUUUUGAGAUAAAAAAAGAUUUUAAGCAAAACUAUAUGCAUAAUGUGACUUAUACAUGCAUGCGGUAAACAAAAUGUAGUAUCUUUCAACCCAAUGGAUUAUCAUAGUUUAUAACUUACCUGUUUAAGCACUGGUGACAGAGUAUUGUAUAGGAUCACCAGAUGGUUCAGCAAAAACAGCAGCUUCAUGAAUAUUUUCAGAAAAAUCUCUGAGAUUGUGCUCUUGCAAAUGCCUCAAGUGCCUCACAUUCCCAUCUUCCAAGAAGGGCCCCACACGACCUGAGCUUUUAUCCUCACAAGCUGUUUGCGAGUAACUUGAUCCAUCACACAAAUGACACUCUUGAGCAUAACUAUAAGCAGCUUCACUGAAAACAACAUUUGUUUCUUCUAAUGUACACAGUUCCUUGUAUGCAGGCCAAAAUAACAGAUCGAUAAACAAUGCCUUCCUUAAGUGUUUGACUGAUUUUUCAUUCCUACUGGUAUACCUAAAAGGAACAGAUCAGAAAACCAACAGCACAUGAGAAGUUGAUAUGUUUAACAAGUUGAUGAACUAAAAUGCAUUAGAUCCUACCUGGAAAAGAACAUGGAGACAUAAGAGGGUUGUAGCACUAACAUAUCUAGCUGAUAAAUUAAUCAUCCAUGCUAAUAAAUAUGUAAUGUUAAAAUAUAGAAGCCUAUACCCAUCCCCAUGCAUAUUAACCAUGGUCUUCACAAGAAGCUCACAUGAAAGCUUUAUUCAUGAUGUAUUAAGGCUUAGAUAUGCAUGUUGUCAAUGAAAUCAGCCCAAUCAGAUCCAGCAUGAUCCCACAUGGGAAGCUUGCGUGCUUGAAUAUAUUGCUAAAUUGAUCAGAAAGGCAGAAGUAAACUCAAACAAAUUGUUGGCAUUGAGUGGGAAUAGCUCAAUGAGCCAGCAUCCUGUCCAGAUCCCUUCGACCCAUGACGUUUGGGCUACUAUGCUAUAAGGAGUUAGAGUUGCACCUCUG
Molecule: unclassified non-coding RNA, 1768 nt
Filed under: Hevea brasiliensis (rubber tree)
Lineage: Eukaryota; Viridiplantae; Streptophyta; Magnoliopsida; Malpighiales; Euphorbiaceae
Source: RNAcentral